UGGGGAAUAUUGGACAAUGGGCGGAAGCCUGAUCCAGCAACGCCGCGUGAGGGAUGACGGCCUUCGGGUUGUAAACCUCUUUCACCAUUGACGAAGCCUUCGGGUGACGGUAGGUGGAGAAGAAGCACCGGCCAACUACGUGCCAGCAGCCGCGGUAAUACGUAGGGUGCGAGCGUUGUCCGGAAUUAUUGGGCGUAAAGGGCUCGUAGGCGGUUUGUCGCGUCGGGAGUGAAAACAUCGGGCUUAACUCGGUGCUUGCUUUCGAUACGGGCAGACUUGAGGCAUGCAGGGGAGAACGGAAUUCCUGGUGUAGCGGUGAAAUGCGCAGAUAUCAGGAGGAACACCGGUGGCGAAGGCGGUUCUCUGGGCAUGUUCUGACGCUGAGGAGCGAAAGUGUGGGGAGCGAACAG
This 410-nucleotide ribosomal RNA is filed under the name uncultured bacterium. Its description in RNAcentral is "bacterial SSU rRNA". It matches the Rfam family "Bacterial small subunit ribosomal RNA", at positions 355 to 775 of the family's 1533-position model. The record is from RNAcentral.